RNAcentral lists this long non-coding RNA (821 nucleotides) under Hordeum vulgare. RNAcentral describes it as "long non-coding RNA (HVUL_LNC004357)". The record is from RNAcentral. Lineage: Eukaryota; Viridiplantae; Streptophyta; Magnoliopsida; Poales; Poaceae.
UUUCCACAUAACGAGCAUCGAGGGUUUUAGGAGUUUCCCCAUAUCCAUGAGUAGCAAGUACACCUAAUCUUUUUGGUAUUUCGUGUUCCAUAUCCAUAACUAAAGAUAGAGAACAACUUAGAACAUCAAAUAAAUCUACUUAGUGAUAAAGCAAACAAGCACACAUGAGAAUAUUCACCCCACGCUAUUGCUCCCCGGCAACGGCGCCAGAAAAAGGUCUUGAUAACCCACAAGUACAGGGGAUCAAUUGUAGCCUUUCUCGAUAAGUAAGAGUGUCGAACCCAACGAGGAGCUAAAGGUAGGACAAAUAUUCCCUCAAGUUCUAUCGACCACCGAUACAACUCUACGCACACUUUACGUUUGCUUUACCUAGAACAAGUAUGAAACUAGAAGUACUUUGUAGGUGUGAUAGGAUAGGUUUGAAAGAAAAUAAAGAACACAUAAAUAAAAAAUAGGGGCUGUUAGAUAAAGAAACAAUUACGUUGGUUUAACGAGUGUGGAAAAGUGGUGGUAGGCGUUGCGGAAUUGUCCCUAAGCAAUUUACUACGUUACAAGACGGAUAGCAAGUUUUAUGUGGGAGAGGCCACUGCUAGCAUGUCAUCCCUUACUUGGAAUUCUAUGCACUUAUGAUUGGAACUAUUAGCAAGCAUCCGCAACUACUAACGUUCAUUAAGGUGAAAUCCAACCAUAGCAAUAAGAUAUAUUGGUCCCCCUUCAAUCCCGUAUGCAUCAAUUUCUUUGCUAGGCUGAAGCUUCUGUCACCCUUGCCCUCCAAUACAUAGUCCUAUCAACAGACUACUAACCCUAUGGUGUGAUCCACG